RNAcentral lists this ribosomal RNA (209 nucleotides) under uncultured bacterium. RNAcentral describes it as "partial 16S ribosomal RNA". It matches the Rfam family "Bacterial small subunit ribosomal RNA", at positions 524 to 727 of the family's 1533-position model. The record is from RNAcentral.
UACGUAGGGUGCGAGCGUUGUCCGGAAUUAUUGGGCGUAAAGAGCUUGUAGGCGGUUUGUCGCGUCUGCUGUGAAAAUCCGGGGCUCAACCCCCGGACUUGCAGUGGGUACGGGGCAGACUAGAGUGUGGUAGGGGGAGACUGGAAUUCCCGGUGUAGCGGUGAAAAUGCGCAGAUAUCGGGGAGGAACACCGGUGGCGAAGGCGGUUC